UACGAAGGGAGCUAGCGUUGUUCGGAAUCACUGGGCGUAAAGCGCACGUAGGCGGAUGUGUCAGUCAGGGGUGAAAUCCCGGGGCUCAACCUCGGAACUGCCUGUGAUACAGCACGUCUUGAGUCCGAUAGAGGUGGGUGGAAUUCCUAGUGUAGAGGUGAAAUUCGUAGAUAUUAGGAAGAACACCGGUGGCGAAGGCGGCCCGCUGGAUCGGUACUGACGCUGAGGUGCGAAAGCGUGGGGAGCAAACAGG
RNAcentral lists this ribosomal RNA (253 nucleotides) under uncultured bacterium. Its description in RNAcentral is "partial 16S ribosomal RNA". It matches the Rfam family "Bacterial small subunit ribosomal RNA", at positions 524 to 776 of the family's 1533-position model. The record is from RNAcentral.